Molecule: RNA transcript, 4471 nt
Organism: Nicotiana attenuata
Lineage: Eukaryota; Viridiplantae; Streptophyta; Magnoliopsida; Solanales; Solanaceae
Gene name: DNA repair protein RAD50
Exons: 27
Source: RefSeq, a predicted model, not a curated record
UCUCUUUUUCCUCUUUGUUAAUACCCAAGUCCCCAACUGUUUCCCAUUUCAAAACAAAAUUUUCAUUUCAACUUCGUCGCAUAGCAAAAUCUCCACUAUAAAAUUGCACAACACGAAACUCUGGCUGCAAAUCGCAGCUACAGAAGUAAACAAAGAUGAGCACAGUAGAUAAAAUGCUUAUAAAAGGCAUACGGAGCUUUGACCCUGAGAACAAAAACGUCAUCACUUUUUUCAGGCCAUUAACUCUCAUCGUCGGCCCUAAUGGCGCUGGAAAAACAACUAUAAUUGAGUGCUUGAAGGUUGCCUGCACUGGUGAGAUGCCACCAAAUGCUCGCUCUGGUCAUAGCUUCAUCCAUGACCCUAAGGUGGCUGGAGAGACGGAGACAAAGGGGCAGAUAAAACUGCGGUUCAAGACAGCAGCAGGGAAAGAUGUGGUGUGCAUUAGGUCUUUUCAGCUAACUCAAAAGGCAACAAAGAUGGAGUACAAGGCCAUUGAGAGUGUACUACAGACUAUCAAUCCUCACACUGGAGAGAAAGUUUGCCUAAGCUAUAGAUGUGCCGAUAUGGACCGAGAAAUUCCUGCUCUCAUGGGUGUCUCAAAGGCCAUUCUUGAAAAUGUGAUUUUUGUUCACCAAGAUGAGGCAAACUGGCCAUUGCAAGAUCCUUCUACACUGAAAAAGAAGUUUGAUGAUAUUUUCUCCGCUACUAGAUACACAAAGGCGUUGGAGGUUAUUAAAAAGCUUCACAAGGAUCAAGCUCAAGAAAUAAAGACAUAUAAGUUGAAACUGGAGAAUCUUCAGACAUUGAAAGAUGCUGCUUACAAGCUGCGGGAAAGCAUUGCCCAAGAUAAAGAGAAAACCGAGUCACUGAAAAGUCAGAUGGAGGAGCUUGAAAAAGAGAUUCGGACUCUAGAGAGUAAGAUCCACCAUACUGAAGCAACUUUAAAGGACCUUCAUCAAUUGCAGCAAGAGAUAGCCACCAAAACUGCUGAAAGGAAAACAUUGUUCAGGGAACAGGAAAAACAGUAUGCAGCACUUGCAGAGGAGAAUGAAGACACUGAUGAAGAGCUGAGUGAAUGGAAAACAAAGUUUGAUGAAAGGAUAGCGCUUCUGGAAUCGAAAGUUAGCAAGUUGGAGAGGGAAAUGAAUGACUCAGAGACAAAGAGUUCCCUUCUUAAGCAGUCCAUGACAGACUAUAUCGUGGAGAUCAGCAAGCUUCAAGCUGAGGCUGAAGCUCUUGCGGUGUUAAAGAAUGAAAGAGACGUCACUAUCAGGAAGCUUUUUGGAAGACAUAACUUAGGUGCUCUUCCAAGUGGGCCGCUCAGUGAUGAUGUCGCAUUAAAUUUAAUGAAUCGUAUAAACCUACGAUUAGCACAUGUUGAUAAGGAUUUACAAGAUAAAAAGGAAACAAAUGAGGCAGAAAUUGCAGCUGCGUGGCAUCAAUACGAAAUUGCAAAUAACCUCUGGAAUGAAAAGGAGGCGCAAAAAGUGGCUAGAGCAGAUAUUAAGAAUGGCAUUUUGAAGCGUAUUGAAGAGAAGGAAAAUGAGCGGAAUGAGUUUGAACAUGAGAUUUCUAAUGUUAAUAUGGCUCAUCUUGAUGAGAGAGAGAAAAAAAUGCAAAUUGAAUGCGAGAGAAAGUCUAAGCAGCUUGCAGAAAGAGAAUUUGACUCAAACAUAAGGCAAAAGCAGACUGAAAUGUUCACCAUAGACCAAAAACUUAAAGAUCUUCAUGCUGAAAAAGAUCGUAUGGCCAAUGAGUCUGAGGAUAGAAUUAAGCUCUCUCUUAAGAAGGCAGAGCUGGAAACUCUCAAGAAGAAACAUAAAAAGCUAAUGGAUGAUAACAAGGAUAAGGUAAAAGGAGUAUUGAAAGGAAGGCUUCCAUCUGACAAGGACUUGAAGAAAGAAAUUACUCAGGCACAAAGGGCUCUCCAGAGAGAGUUUGAUGACUUGAGUGCCAAAGCCCGCGAAGCUGAGAAGGAGGUCAAUAUGUCGCAGAUGAAAAUAGAAGAAGUUAAGCAUAACUUGUCCAAAUAUCACAAGGACAUGGACUCAAGAAAGAGAUUUCUGGAAUCAAAGCUCCAGUUGCUGGACCAGGAAUUUGCUGGUGUAGAGUCCUAUCCCAAAAUUAUGGACUCAGCCAAAGAAAAAAGAGAUGUCCAAAAAAGCAAGUACAACAUUGCCGAUGGUAUGCGGCAAAUGUUUGAUCCAUUUGAAAGAGUUGCUCGUGCUCAUCAUAUUUGCCCUUGCUGCGAGCGUCCGUUCUCUGCUGAAGAGGAGGAUGAAUUUGUUAAGAAGCAACGAGUGAAAGCUGCUAGCUCUGCUGAGCAUAUUAAAGUAUUAGCUAUGGAUUCUUCGAAUGCUGAUUCUCGUUUCCAACAGUUAGACAAGCUUCGUUUGGUUUAUGAAGAGUAUCUCAAAGUGGGAAAGGAAUCAAUACCUCUAGCAGAGAAGAACCUUAAUGAGCUAAAUGAGGAAUUAGAUCAAAAAAAUCAGUCUCUUGAUGAUGUUUUAGGUGUCUUGGCUCAGAUAAAGGCUGAGAAGGAUGCAGUUGAUGCGCUAAUACAACCUGUAGAAACAUCUGACAGGCUUUUCCAAGAAAUUCAAGCUCUGCAGAAGCAAGUUGAUGAUUUGGAUUAUGGUCUUGAUAUCCGCGGGCAAGGCAUAAGAUCUAUGGAGGAAAUUCAAUCAGAAUUGGAUGAACUGCAGAGCAAAAGGGAAAAUUUGUCUUCGGAAGUGGAGAAGCUGAAAGAUGAUCGGAGGUACAUGGAGAAUGAGUUUUCAAGUUUCCAAUUAAGAUGGUUUACUGUAAGGGAAGAGAAGACGCAAGCAGCAAACAAAUUGAACAAUGUUAAAAGGGCAGAAGAGGAAUUGGAUGACUUGGUGGAGCAGAAAAAUAAAGUUGAGCUUGAAGAGAAGCAUCUUGCAGAGGCUGUUGGUCCCUUGUCGAAGGAAAAGGACAAGCACUUUAGGGACUACCAAAAUCUGAAAACAAAACUUAGCAAGGAGUUGGAAGAGCAGGCAGAAAUUAGAAGACAUUAUCAACAGGAUGUAGAUGAACUUAAGAAGAUUACCUCCAAAAUUAGAGAGUAUUAUGAGUUAAAGAAAGAACAAAAAUUGAAUGAACUGCAGGACAAGCGAAGCCUGUCAGAAUCUCAGCUUCAAAACUGUGAGUCCAGAAAGCAAGAGAUUUCGGCUGAAGUGGCGAAAAGUAAGGCUUUAAUGCAGAACCAGGACAAUUUGAGACGCAACAUUGAGGAUAACUUGAACUAUAGGAAAACAAAGGCUGAUGUUGAUAAGCUCACCUGUGAGAUUGAAUUACUGGAAGAUAAAGUGCUGAAGAUGGGUGGCCUCUCCACUAUUGAGGCUGAGCUUAAAAAGCUUUCACAUGAAAGAGAGAAGCUACUUUCUGAGUUAAACAAGUGCCAUGGUACCCUAUCUGUUUAUCAAAGCAGCAUUUCCAAGAACAAAGUUGAUCUUAAGCAGGCACAGUACAAGGAUAUUGACAAACGCUAUUUUGAUCAGCUAAUCCAGCUGAAGACUACGGAGAUGGCAAACAAGGAUCUGGACAGAUAUUACAAUGCCCUUGACAAGCGUCUCCUGUACUUGAUCAAAUGUGGAAUUAAAUACUUUCAAUGUUCUAUUUGGUUUCUCUUGUUUCAGAGCACUGAUGCGCUUCCAUACAAUGAAAAUGGAAGAGAUAAAUAAGAUUAUCAGGGAACUGUGGCAGCAGACUUACAGGGGCCAGGACAUAGAUUACAUAAGCAUUCAUUCAGAUUCCGAAGGUUCUGGUACUCGAUCCUACAGCUAUAGGGUUUUGAUGCAAACCGGUGAUACUGAGCUAGAGAUGCGAGGGAGGUGUAGUGCUGGCCAAAAGGUCCUUGCAUCACUUAUUAUAAGAUUGGCAUUGGCUGAAACGUUUUGUCUCAACUGCGGAAUUCUAGCACUGGAUGAACCAACCACAAACCUAGAUGGCCCCAACAGUGAGAGUCUUGCAGCAGCUCUCUUAAGAAUUAUGGAGGACAGGAAAGGUCAAGAAAACUUCCAAUUAAUUGUCAUUACACAUGACGAGCGCUUUGCUCAAUAUAUUGGCCAGCGCCAGCAUGCAGAAAAGUAUUAUCGCAUCACAAAAGAUGACCACCAGCACAGCAUAAUUGAAGCUCAGGAAAUAUUUGAUUGAGAUCACAAGGGUUUCAGCCUCUGGCAGUGAUUAUUCAUUAGACGUUUCAUGCUUGACUUAGUACAUACUGAUAAACUACUAGUCCAGCAUACAGAAACUGAAUAGAACAAUCUCAUUUUUCCAUGGUUAUAUAUUUAAUCUGCUCUUGUAUUAUGUUCUCUGUAAAUUAUCUGAUGUAAAACGAUUUAUGCUGAGCUACUUGUCAUUGAAUUUCCUCACAUUCUGGUUUCUAUGGAUUGUAAGCAAGAAACUGAAGAAAGUUUAUUAUUUAAAGAAAUAGAUAUGUUCAUUACCA